CUACGUAGGGGGCGAGCGUUGUCCGGAAUGAUUGGGCGUAAAGGGCGCGUAGGCGGCCCGGUAAGUCUGGAGUGAAAGUCCUGUUUUUAAGAUGGGAAUUGCUUUGGAUACUGUCGGGCUUGAGUGCAGGAGAGGUAAGUGGAAUUCCCAGUGUAGCGGUGAAAUGCGUAGAGAUUACACAGAACACCGAUUGCGAAAGCAUCUCACGAAGGGUUGAUUGACGCUGAGGCACGAAAGCGUGGGGAUCAAACAGGAUUAGAUACCCUGGUAGUCCACGCAGUAAACGAUGAUGGCUAACCGCUGGGCUUAUCAGUUCAGUGGCCAAGCGAAAGCGAUAAGCCAUCCACCUGGGGAGUACGACCGCAAGGUUGAAACUCAAAUGAAUUGACGGGG
RNAcentral lists this ribosomal RNA (393 nucleotides) under uncultured bacterium. RNAcentral's name for it is "partial 16S ribosomal RNA". It matches the Rfam family "Bacterial small subunit ribosomal RNA", at positions 523 to 918 of the family's 1533-position model. The record is from RNAcentral.